RNAcentral lists this ribosomal RNA (253 nucleotides) under uncultured bacterium. Its description in RNAcentral is "partial 16S ribosomal RNA". It matches the Rfam family "Bacterial small subunit ribosomal RNA", at positions 524 to 776 of the family's 1533-position model. The record is from RNAcentral.
UACGUAGGUGGCAAGCGUUGUCCGGAUUUAUUGGGUUUAAAGGGUGCGUAGGCGGCCCUGUAAGUCAGUGGUGAAAUACUCCAGCUCAACUGGAGAGGUGCCAUUGAUACUGCAGGGCUUGAGUGUGGUCGAGGCGGAUGGAAUUGACGGUGUAGCGGUGAAAUGCUUAGAUAUCGUCAAGAACACCGAUAGCGAAGGCAGUUCGCUAGGCCACAACUGACGCUGAGGCACGAAAGUGCGGGGAUCAAACAGG